GAUGAAGAACUUAGCGAAAUGCGAUAAGUAGUGUGAAUUGCAGAAUUCAGUGAAUCAUCGAAUCUUUGAACGCACAUUGCGCCUCCUGGUAUUCCGGGAGGCAUGCCUGUUCGAGCGUCAUUGCUGCCCUCAAGCACGGCUUGUGUGUUGGGCCUCCGUCCUCCUCCCGGGGGACGGGCCCGAAAGGCAGCGGCGGCACCGCGUCCGGUCCUCGAGCGUAUGGGGCUUCGUCACCCGCUCUUGUAGGCCCGGCCGGCGCUUGCCGACACAUCAAUCUUUUUUCCAGGUUGACCUCGGAUCAGGUAGGGAUACCCGCUGAACUUAAGCAUAUCAAUAAGCGGAGGA
RNAcentral lists this unclassified non-coding RNA (345 nucleotides) under soil metagenome. RNAcentral's name for it is "partial contains 5.8S ribosomal RNA, internal transcribed spacer 2, and large subunit ribosomal RNA". The stretch from base 1 to 120 matches the Rfam family "5.8S ribosomal RNA", at positions 35 to 154 of the family's 154-position model. The record is from RNAcentral.